This 913-nucleotide ribosomal RNA is filed under the name uncultured archaeon. Its description in RNAcentral is "bacterial SSU rRNA". It matches the Rfam family "Archaeal small subunit ribosomal RNA", at positions 1 to 923 of the family's 1478-position model. The record is from RNAcentral.
UUCCGGUUGAUCCCGCCGGACCUGACUGCUAUCGGAUUGAUACUAAGCCAUGCGAGUCAUUGUAGUAAUACAAGGCAGACGGCUCAGUAACGCGUAGUCAACCUACCCUAUGGACGGGAAUAACCUCGGGAAACUGAGAAUAAUGCCCGAUAGAACACUAUACCUGGAAUGGUUUGUGUUCCAAAUGAUUUAUCGCCAUAGGAUGGGACUGCGGCCUAUCAGUUUGUUGGUGAGGUAAUGGCCCACCAAGACUAUUACAGGUACGGGCUCUGAGAGGAGUGGCCCGGAGAUGGGUACUGAGACACGGACCCAGGCCCUAUGGGGCGCAGCAGGCGAGAAAACUUUGCAAUGUGCGAAAGCACGACAAGGUUAAUCCGAGUGGUUUCUGCUAAAGGAACCUUUUGUCGGUCCUAGAAACACCGAUGAAUAAGGGGUGGGCAAGUUCUGGUGUCAGCCGCCGCGGUAAAACCAGCACCUCAAGUUGUCAGGAUGAUUAUUGGGCCUAAAGCAUCCGUAGCCGGCUCUGUUAGUUUUCGGUUAAAUCUGUACGCUUAACGUACAGGCUGCCGGGAAUACUGCAGAGCUAGGGAGUGGGAGAGGUAGACGGUACUCGGUAGGAAGGGGUAAAAUCCUUUGAUCUAUUGAUGACCACCUGUGGCGAAGGCGGUCUACCAGAACACGUCCGACGGUGAGGGAUGAAAGCUGGGGGAGCAAACCGGAUUAGAUACCCGGGUAGUCCCAGCUGUAAACUAUGCAAACUCAGUGAUGCAUUGGCUUGUGGCCAAUGCAGUGCUGCAGGAAAGCCGUUAAGUUUGCCGCCUGGGAAGUACGUACGCAAGUAUGAAACUUAAAGGAAUUGGCGGGGGAGCACACAAGGGGUGAAGCCUGCGUUCAAUUGGAUUCAACGCCGGGA